RNAcentral lists this long non-coding RNA (264 nucleotides) under Homo sapiens (human). RNAcentral describes it as "HSALNT0350274". The record is from RNAcentral. Lineage: Eukaryota; Metazoa; Chordata; Mammalia; Primates; Hominidae.
AGGAGCCCGUAGCCGAGGCCUGCUGCCAGGAUCUGGGUGGUCAUGGCCACCCAGGUGACCACGCCGCUGUACUGCAGACUUAUAAAAGAAGUAGAACACACAUGCUUCCCAUUAGGUGAGAAAGAAACAUGCCUGAGAGUCUAAUGGAUUACUCAAGUCUGUGCUGCCAAGGAAGAACAGAAUCUUUAGGUCUUCUGUGCAAAGUUGUGUCCACCCCCAAAGUCUGAAGUGGCUCCAUUCACAAACUUACAUGGAAUUUGGACU